RNAcentral lists this ribosomal RNA (257 nucleotides) under uncultured bacterium. RNAcentral's name for it is "partial 16S ribosomal RNA". It matches the Rfam family "Bacterial small subunit ribosomal RNA", at positions 524 to 776 of the family's 1533-position model. The record is from RNAcentral.
CACGUAGGGAGCAAGCGUUGUCCGGAUUUAUUGGGCGUAAAGAGCUCGUAGGUGGUUCGGUAAGUCAGGUGUGAAACCUCCAGGCUCAACCUGGAGACGCCACUUGAUACUGCUGUGACUGGAGUCCGGUAGGGGGAGCGUGGAAUUCCUGGUGUAGCGGUGAAAAUGCGCAGAUAUCAGGAGGAACACCAGCGGCGAAGGCGGUUCUCUGGGACGGUACUGACGCUGAGACGCGAAAGCGUGGGGGAGCGAACAGG